UAACUGGUCUGAGAGGAUGAUCAGUCACACUGGAACUGAGACACGGUCCAGACUCCUACGGGAGGCAGCAGUAGGGAAUAUUGCUCAAUGGGGGAAACCCUGAAGCAGCAACGCCGCGUGGAGGAUGACACUUUUCGGAGCGUAAACUCCUUUUGUUAGGGAAGAACAAUGACGGUACCUAACGAAUAAGCACCGGCUAACUCCGUGCCAGCAGCCGCGGUAAUACGGAGGGUGCAAGCGUUACUCGGAAUCACUGGGCGUAAAGGACGCGUAGGCGGAUUAUCAAGUCUCUUGUGAAAUCCUAUGGCUUAACCAUAGAACUGCUUGGGAAACUGAUAAUCUAGAGUGAGGGAGAGGCAGAUGGAAUUGGUGGUGUAGGGGUAAAAUCCGUAGAGAUCACCAGGAAUACCCAUUGCGAAGGCGAUCUGCUGGAACUCAACUGACGCUAAUGCGUGAAAGCGUGGGGAGCAAACAGGAUUAGAUACCCUGGUAGUCCACGCCCUAAACGAUGUAUACUAGUUGUUGCUAAGCUAGUCUUGGCAGUAAUGCACCUAACGGAUUAAGUAUACCGCCUGGGGAGUACGGUCGCAAGAUUAAAACUCAAAGGAAUAGACGGGGACCCGCACAAGCGGUGGAGCAUGUGGUUUAAUUCGAAGAUACGCGAAGAACCUUACCCGGACUUGAUAUCUAACAAAUCAUCUAGAGAUAGAAGAGUGUCUGCUUGCAGAAAUGUUAAGACAGGUGCUGCACGGCUGUCGUCAGCUCGUGUCGUGAGAUGUUGGGUUAAGUCCCGCAACGAGCGCAACCCACGUCAUUAGUUGCUAACAGUUCGGCUGAGCACUCUAAUGAGACUGCCUUCGUAAGGAGGAGGAAGGUGUGGACGACGUCAAGUCAUCAUGGCCCUUAUGUCCGGGGCGACACACGUGCUACAAUGGCAUAUACAAUGAGAAGCAAUAUCGCGAGAUGGAGCAAAUCUAUAAAAUAUGUCCCAGUUCGGAUUGGAGUCUGCAACUCGACUCCAUGAAGCCGGAAUCGCUAGUAAUCGUAGAUCAGCCAUGCUACGGUGAAUACGUUCCCGGGUCUUGUACUCACCGCCCGUCACACCAUGGGAGUUGAUUUCACUCGAAGCCGGAAUACUAAAUUAGUUACCGUCCACAGUGGAAUCAGCGACUGGGGUGAAGUCGUAACAAGGUAACCGUAGGAGAACCUGCGGUUG
This 1216-nucleotide ribosomal RNA is filed under the name metagenome. RNAcentral's name for it is "bacterial SSU rRNA". It matches the Rfam family "Bacterial small subunit ribosomal RNA", at positions 284 to 1520 of the family's 1533-position model. The record is from RNAcentral.